This is a long non-coding RNA of Cucumis sativus (cucumber), 1742 nucleotides long. RefSeq lists it as uncharacterized. The transcript has 3 exons. The record is from RefSeq and is a predicted model, not a curated record. Lineage: Eukaryota; Viridiplantae; Streptophyta; Magnoliopsida; Cucurbitales; Cucurbitaceae.
GAAAAAUAGAAGAGAAUUUGUACAUUCGGUGCUUUGCCUAUAAAAGAAACCUCCCACCGCCAAUUUUUUUUCAAACAUUUCUUCAUCAUUUUUGCGCCAAAUUUUAGAGGGACUUCAAAGGGAAGAAGGCUGAGAAAGGAAGAAGAAGAAGUUCAAGAAAUGUUUGUUGAAGAAGACAAGGAGUUUGCAAGACCAACUUCACUAUAGUUCACUAAGCACAUCUCUGGCUUUUUAUUGAUUCUGAGCUACAAAAACAGAAUUAAGAGGGACAAGUUAAAGGGGUCGUGGUACGCGCGAUUGUUGGAGUGGUUCAGUUUUGAGGGAUACCUGAAAUUAUACACAUGGAAUCAGAUUUAUAUAUCGUGAGGCCAAGAGGAAAUAGGUCGAAUUUACAUAUCGGGAGUACUGUUGGGCGGACCCCACUACAUCAUAGAUCUUGUAAACGUUUGUUGUACUGGGUGUGCUCUACACAACGUAGAUUUUUUGUGUUGGUUUAAAUAUUUUGAUAUAGUUGAUAUGUCUUGUUAGAUUUCAAUGACGUAUAUACUGAGUAUUUGAGGAAGCUAUUCUUACUAUUAUAUAUCUAUGUUUACGACUUGUAUAAACAGAUUUAUACGUGGGAAGCUUUCACGUGCUCUUACCUUUAAAAUUCUAGUUUUAAACUGAGUCACUCACUAAGCUUUAUAGCUUACCCUUCCAAAAUAUUUUACCCACUUUCUAGGUAAAGAUUGAGUUUCUUGUGCCUGAUGUACUGACUUAGUCUGUUGAAGCUCCGAUAUCGAUUGCUAGUACGUGGUUAGAGUUGUGCAUAGAGUUUGUUGUGUUAUGAUGUAUAUAUCUUAGUAUGAUAUAGAUAGUCUACAGUUUGUGUAAGCUUUAUAAGCUGCGGUUGUAUAAACCUUUGUUGGUUAGGUUUUGGUUAAGGUGUCUCCAAGUUUACUCGUGAAAUCAGUUAUUUUCGGGCUACACUUCAUGUAUGUAUAUGAUUAGUCUAGGAUCCGCUGUGUUAUGUUACAUGUACAAUAGUUUAUAUACUAGAUUAACAAGUUUAUCAUGAUCAAAGUUUUCAACAGUGUCGACAGAUACAUAUAGAGAAAAGCGUUGUCGGUUGACUUCAUGCCGUCUUUUGGUCUAAGCUAGCAGGUAGUCCAGGAGGAGGUGUGACAACGACUCAGAUUAACCGUGUCUCUCGAUGAGGAAGAAAGCAGAUGGUGUGGCUUAGAGAUGGGGAAGGUGCUCAAGUUGGCUUAGAUGCACGGUUGGAAGGAAGAUCGACUUGAAUUGGGCUUGGGUUGGUUCAAUGGCUGCUGGAGAUGGAGAUCUGUGUGAAACGAAGUUGUGUGUGAAAACAAAACUGUUCGUGGAUAAAGCAUGAGGCUCGGGUUGCAUGAUAGGAACGGUAGACGGACAACUAAAUUUUUACCAUCUCCAAAAUAAACACACACUGAGUGUGUCUCACCACACACUCAUCACUAUCAGACAAAUUUCCAAACCAAUUUCAAGUAUGAAAAAUGAAACACUGUUAUGCACCACCUAGUUAUACUACAUGUUGUUGACUUCAGAAUUAACUAAAGACAUAAUUAGAUAAGUAAAUGCACAACACUUUGUUAACCCAAUUCGAUAAAUAUAACUUACAUCUGGGGAGCUUUCUUGCUCAGAUCAGGAAUAUUAUUAAAGAACAUUUUGAAUAACAUAUUACUCUUGUUACAUCAAUAGUCAUAACUAUGAUUCAAUUAACUUCA